This 70-nucleotide transfer RNA is filed under the name Sylvia atricapilla (blackcap). RNAcentral describes it as "transfer RNA-Arg". It matches the Rfam family "tRNA". From Rfam's summary of the family: Transfer RNA (tRNA) molecules are approximately 80 nucleotides in length. Their secondary structure includes four short double-helical elements and three loops (D, anti-codon, and T loops). The record is from RNAcentral. Lineage: Eukaryota; Metazoa; Chordata; Aves; Passeriformes; Sylviidae.
AGAAAGUUAGUCUAACUAAGACAGUUGAUUUCGACUCAACAGAUUAUAGCUAUAACCCUAUAACUUUCUU